ACGUCUGACCGAGCACGCCGCGUGAGUGAAGAAGGUUUUCGGAUCGUAAAACUCUGUUGGUAGAGAAGAACGUUGGUGAGAGUGGAAAGCUCAUCAAGUGACGGUAACUACCCAGAAAGGGACGGCUAACUACGUGCCAGCAGCCGCGGUAAUACGUAGGUCCCGAGCGUUGUCCGGAUUUAUUGGGCGUAAAGCGAGCGCAGGUGGUUUAUUAAGUCUGGUGUAAAAGGCAGUGGCUCAACCAUUGUAUGCAUUGGAAACUGGUAGACUUGAGUGCAGGAGAGGAGAGUGGAAUUCCAUGUGUAGCGGUGAAAUGCGUAGAUAUAUGGAGGAACACCGGUGGCGAAAGCGGCUCUCUGGCCUGUAACUGACACUGAGGCUCGAAAGCGUGGGGAGCAAACAGGAUUAGAUACCCUGGUAGA
This 422-nucleotide ribosomal RNA is filed under the name uncultured bacterium. RNAcentral's name for it is "bacterial SSU rRNA". It matches the Rfam family "Bacterial small subunit ribosomal RNA", at positions 379 to 794 of the family's 1533-position model. The record is from RNAcentral.